ACGGUCUGGAAGUCAUCGAUGCCACGCUCCCAGGAAAAGCCUCUAAGCUUCAGAUACAGUGGAACCGUACCCCAAACCGACACAGGUGGUCAGGUAGAGAAUACCAAGGCGCUUGAGAGAACUCGGGUGAAGGAACUAGGCAAAAUGGUGCCGUAACUUCGGGAGAAGGCACGCCGGUAUUAGGUGAAGCCCCUUGCGGGUGGAGCUGACGCCGGUCGAAGAUACCAGGUGGCUGCAACUGUUUAUUAAAAACACAGUACUCUGCAAACGCGUAAGCGGACGUAUAGGGUAUGACGCCUGCCCGGUGCCGGAAGGUUAAUUGAUGGUGUUAGCGUAAGCGAAGCUCCUGAUCGAAGCCCCGGUAAACGGCGGCCGUAACUAUAACGGUCCUAAGGUAGCGAAAUUCCUUGUCGGGUAAGUUCCGACCUGCACGAAUGGCGUAAUGAUGGCCACGCUGUCUCCACCCGAGACUCAGUGAAAUUGAAAUCGCAGUGAAGAUGCUGUGUACCCGCGGCUAGACGGAAAGACCCCGUGAACCUUUACUACAGCUUCACACUGGACGCUGAUGUUGCUUGUGUAGGAUAGCUGGGAGGCUUGGAAACCCGGUCGCCAGAUCGAGUGGAGCCAACCUUGAAAUACCAGCCUGGCAUCAUUGGCGUUCUAACUCCGGUCCGUUAUCCGGAUCGAGGACCGUGUGUGGUGGGUAGUUUGACUGGGGCGGUCUCCUCCCAAAGCGUAACGGAGGAGCACGAAGGUACCCUCAGCACGGUUGGAAAUCGUGCAAUGAGUGCAAGAGCAUAAGGGUGCUUAACUGCGAGACAGACACGUCGAGCAGGUACGAAAGUAGGUUCUAGUGAUCCGGUGGUUCUGUAUGGAAGGGCCAUCGCUCAACGGAUAAAAGGUACUCCGGGGAUAACAGGCUGAUACCGCCCAAGAGUUCACAUCGACGGCGGUGUUUGGCACCUCGAUGUCGGCUCAUCACAUCCUGGGGCUGAAGUCGGUCCCAAGGGUAUGGCUGUUCGCCAUUUAAAGUGGUACGCGAGCUGGGUUUAGAACGUCGUGAGACAGUUCGGUCCCUAUCUGCCGUGGGCGUUGGAGAUUUGAGAAGUGCUGCUCCUAGUACGAGAGGACCGGAGUGGACGACCCUCUGGUGUUCCGGUUGUCACGCCAGUGGCAUCGCCGGGUAGCUAUGGUCGGACGGGAUAACCGCUGAAAGCAUCUAAGCGGGAAGCCUCCUUCAAGAUGAGAUCUCCCCGAGGCCUCGAGCCUCCUGAAGGGCCCAGCGAGACGAGCUGGUUGAUAGGUCGGGUGUGGAAGCGCUGCAAGGCGUUGAGCUAACCGAUACUAAUGGCCCGUGAGGCUUGACCAU
RNAcentral lists this ribosomal RNA (1369 nucleotides) under Halomonas halophila. RNAcentral describes it as "partial 23S ribosomal RNA". It matches the Rfam family "Bacterial large subunit ribosomal RNA", at positions 1579 to 2925 of the family's 2925-position model. The record is from RNAcentral. Lineage: Bacteria; Pseudomonadati; Pseudomonadota; Gammaproteobacteria; Oceanospirillales; Halomonadaceae.